This 473-nucleotide ribosomal RNA is filed under the name uncultured Magnetococcus sp. RNAcentral describes it as "bacterial SSU rRNA". It matches the Rfam family "Bacterial small subunit ribosomal RNA", at positions 79 to 587 of the family's 1533-position model. Lineage: Bacteria; Pseudomonadati; Pseudomonadota; Magnetococcia; Magnetococcales; Magnetococcaceae. The record is from RNAcentral.
UUCGGGAUGCCGGCGAGUGGCAAACGGGUGAGUAACGCGUGGAUACCCGUCCUAUGGUGGGGAAUAACGUUUAGAAAUGAACGCUAAUACCGCAUAAGCCCUACGGGGGAAAGAUUUAUCGCCAUAGGAGGGGUCUGCGUCGGAUUAGCUAGUUGGUGGGGUAAAGGCCUACCAAGGCGACGAUCCGUAGCUGGUCUGAGAGGAUGAUCAGCCACACUGGGACUGAGACACGGCCCAGACUCCUACGGGAGGCAGCAGUGGGGAAUAUUGCGCAAUGGGGGAAACCCUGACGCAGCGACGCCGCGUGGGUGAAGAAGGCCUUAGGGUUGUAAAGCCCUUUCAGCAGGAAAGAUUGUGACGGUACCUGCAGAAGAAGCUCCGGCUAACUCCGUGCCAGCAGCCGCGGUAAUACGGAGGGAGCUAGCGUUGUUCGGAAUUACUGGGCGUAAAGGGCGCGUAGGCGGUUUGACAAG